RNAcentral lists this ribosomal RNA (667 nucleotides) under Staphylococcus sp. HN25. RNAcentral describes it as "bacterial SSU rRNA". It matches the Rfam family "Bacterial small subunit ribosomal RNA", at positions 25 to 674 of the family's 1533-position model. Lineage: Bacteria; Bacillati; Bacillota; Bacilli; Caryophanales; Staphylococcaceae. The record is from RNAcentral.
CAGGAUGAACGCUGGCGGCGUGCCUAAUACAUGCAAGUCGAGCGAACAGAUAAGGAGCUUGCUCCUUUGACGUUAGCGGCGGACGGGUGAGUAACACGUGGGUAACCUACCUAUAAGACUGGGAUAACUUCGGGAAACCGGAGCUAAUACCGGAUAACAUUUGGAACCGCAUGGUUCUAAAGUGAAAGAUGGUUUUGCUAUCACUUAUAGAUGGACCCGCGCCGUAUUAGCUAGUUGGUAAGGUAACGGCUUACCAAGGCGACGAUACGUAGCCGACCUGAGAGGGUGAUCGGCCACACUGGAACUGAGACACGGUCCAGACUCCUACGGGAGGCAGCAGUAGGGAAUCUUCCGCAAUGGGCGAAAGCCUGACGGAGCAACGCCGCGUGAGUGAUGAAGGGUUUCGGCUCGUAAAACUCUGUUAUUAGGGAAGAACAAAUGUGUAAGUAACUGUGCACGUCUUGACGGUACCUAAUCAGAAAGCCACGGCUAACUACGUGCCAGCAGCCGCGGUAAUACGUAGGUGGCAAGCGUUAUCCGGAAUUAUUGGGCGUAAAGCGCGCGUAGGCGGUUUCUUAAGUCUGAUGUGAAAGCCCACGGCUCAACCGUGGAGGGUCAUUGGAAACUGGGAAACUUGAGUGCAGAAGAGGAAAGUGGAAUUCCAUGU